GCUGGGUAUAGACCCGAAACCAGGUGAUCUAUCCAUGAGCAGGUUGAAGGUUGGGUAACACUAACUGGAGGACCGAACCCACUGUCGUUGAAAAGCCAGGGGAUGACUUGUGGAUAGGGGUGAAAGGCUAAUCAAACUUGGUGAUAGCUGGUUCUCCCCGAAAGCUAUUUAGGUAGCGCCUCGGACGAAUACCAUUGGGGGUAGAGCACUGUUUCGGCUAGGGGGUCAUCCCGACUUACCAAACCGAUGCAAACUCCGAAUACCAAUGAGUACUAUCCGGGAGACAGACUGCGGGUGCUAACGUCCGUAGUCAAGAGGAAAACAAUCCAGACCGCCAGCUAAGGCCCCAAAAUUAUAGUUAAGUGGGAAACGAUGUGGGAAGGCAUAGACAGCUAGGAGGUUGGCUUAGAAGCAGCCACCCUUUAAAGAAAGCGUAAUAGCUCACUAGUCGAGUCGGCCUGCGCGGAAGAUGUAACGGGGCUAAAACUAUAUGCCGAAGCUGCGGAUGCAUAAUUUAUUAUGCGUGGUAGGGGAGCGUUCUGUAAGCCGAUGAAGGUGGAUUGAGAAGUCUGCUGGAGGUAUCAGAAGUGCGAAUGCUGACGUGAGUAACGACAAUGCGAGUGAAAAACUCGCACGCUGAAAGACCAAGGGUUCCAGUCCAACGUUAAUCGGGGCUGGGUGAGUCGACCCCUAAGGCGAGGCCGAGAGGCGUAGUCGAUGGGAAAUUGGUUAAUAUUCCAAUACUUCUGUGUAAUGCGAUGAGAGGACGGAGAAGGUUAAGUCAGCCUGGCGUUGGUUGUCCAGGUGGAAGGUUGUAGGCAUGUAUCUUAGGCAAAUCCGGGGUACUCUAUGCUGAGAACUGAUAGCAAGCUGUACUUGUACAGUGAAGUGGCUGAUACCAUGCUUCCAGGAAAAGUCUCUAAGCUUCAGUUACACAGGAAUCGUACCCGAAACCGACACAGGUGGUCAGGUCGAGUAGACCAAAGCGCUUGAGAGAACUCUGCUGAAGGAACUAGGCAAAAUGGUACCGUAACUUCGGGAGAAGGUACGCUGUUGUCUGUGAUAGGACUUGCUCCUUGAGCGGCCGACAGCCUCAGAAACCAGGCCCCUGCAACUGUUUAUUAAAAACAUAGCACUCUGCAAACACGAAAGUGGACGUAUAGGGUGUGAUGCCUGCCCGGUGCUGGAAGGUUAAUUGAUGGGGUUAGCGUAAGCGAAGCUCUUGAUCGAAGCCCCAGUAAACGGCGGCCGUAACUAUAACGGUCCUAAGGUAGCGAAAUUCCUUGUCGGGUAAGUUCCGACCUGCACGAAUGGCAUAAUGAUGGGGGCGCUGUCUCCAGCAGAGACUCAGUGAAAUCGAAUUCGCCGUGAAGAUGCGGUGUACCCGCGGCUAGACGGAAAGACCCCGUGAACCUUUACUGCAGCUUGACAUUGAACUUUGAUCUUACUUGUGUAGGAUAGGUGGGAGGCUUUGAAGUCGCGACGCUAGUUGCGAUGGAGCCGUCCUUGAAAUACCACCCUGGUAAUAUUGAGGUUCUAACUCUGUCCCGUUAUCCGGGACGAGGACCAUGUCUGGUGGGUAGUUUGACUGGGGCGGUCUCCUCCUAAAGAGUAACGGAGGAGUACGAAGGUGCGCUCAGCGUGGUCGGAAAUCACGCGUAGAGUAUAAAGGCAAAAGCGCGCUUAACUGCGAGACCCACAAGUCGAGCAGGUACGAAAGUAGGUCUUAGUGAUCCGGUGGUUCUGUAUGGAAGGGCCAUCGCUCAACGGAUAAAAGGUACUCUGGGGAUAACAGGCUGAUACCGCCCAAGAGUUCAUAUCGACGGCGGUGUUUGGCACCUCGAUGUCGGCUCAUCUCAUCCUGGGGCUGAAGCAGGUCCCAAGGGUAUGGCUGUUCGCCAUUUAAAGAGGUACGCGAGCUGGGUUUAGAACGUCGUGAGACAGUUCGGUCCCUAUCUACCGUGGGCGUUGGAAAUUUGAGAGGAUCUGCUCCUAGUACGAGAGGACCAGAGUGGACGAACCUCUGGUGUACCGGUUGUCACGCCAGUGGCAUCGCCGGGUAGCUAUGUUCGGAAGGGAUAACCGCUGAAAGCAUCUAAGCGGGAAGCCUACCUCAAGAUAAGAUUUCCCCGAGACUUUAUGUCUCCUAAAGAGCCGUUGAAGACUACGACGUUGAUAGGUUGGAUGUGGAAGCAUAGUGAUAUGUGAAGCUGACCAAUACUAAUUGCUCGUGAGGCUUGACUAUA
RNAcentral lists this ribosomal RNA (2246 nucleotides) under Salmonella enterica subsp. enterica. RNAcentral's name for it is "partial 23S ribosomal RNA". It matches the Rfam family "Bacterial large subunit ribosomal RNA", at positions 702 to 2925 of the family's 2925-position model. The record is from RNAcentral. Lineage: Bacteria; Pseudomonadati; Pseudomonadota; Gammaproteobacteria; Enterobacterales; Enterobacteriaceae.